GGGGAUGUAAAGGUUUCGACGGGGGUGUAGAAGCCCGAUAAGCGAGCCGUGGUUCCGGAUCCACGUAAAAAGUCGGACGUUAAAUAUAAACGCUAAAAAUAACAACAAACUCGCAUUUGCUGCGUAAUUAGCAGCCCGCGUGCCAAUUCAGGUUCACCUAUAGGCCUGAUGUCGGCAUCGACUAUGUAGGAAAACUUUGCGGUGAUGCCCGUAGCCGUAAGGGAAUAACGGGAUAACUGCGGUAGUAGUCUGCUGAUGAGCGGCUGCCGUGGCGAAAAUUUAUUCAUCAGAUGCGCUCGGAGAAAAUCGAGUGGAAAUGCUUUCGGACGCGAGUUCGACUCUCGCCAUCUCCACCA
This is a non-coding RNA of Eubacterium infirmum F0142, 356 nucleotides long. It matches the Rfam family "transfer-messenger RNA". Rfam says of the family: Bacterial tmRNA, also known as 10Sa RNA or SsrA, is named for its dual tRNA and mRNA-like properties. Its role is to liberate the mRNA from a stalled ribosome. Lineage: Bacteria; Bacillati; Bacillota; Clostridia; Peptostreptococcales; Anaerovoracaceae. The record is from Rfam.